Molecule: non-coding RNA, 189 nt
Organism: Chlorocebus sabaeus (green monkey)
Lineage: Eukaryota; Metazoa; Chordata; Mammalia; Primates; Cercopithecidae
Source: Rfam
AUCGCUUCUUGGCCUUUUGGUCAAGAUCAAGUAUAGUAUGUGUUAUUACCAGUUUAAUAUCUGAUAUGUCUUCUGAGGACAAAUCUUUUUGUUUUUUUAUUACACUUUCAGUUCUAGGGUACAUGUGCACAAUGUGCAGGUUUGUUACAUAUGUAAACAUGUGCCAUUUUGGUGUGCUGCACCCAUUAA